UAAAUACCCACGCCUAUUUAAGUUUUCACCACUACCUGAGGAGUUUUACAUUUAUUGGCUGAGCUGGCUAAUUUAUUUCUUUUUCUACCCAUUUCAAUCUCUGCUGCCACGUGUUUUAAUUACUGGUGCUUUCAGUUCUAAUCUCUAUGCACCUCGAAGAAAAAAUCCCUAAAAACUUGUUAAUUAAUCUCUCCUCCAUUCACUCAUAAAAAAUGGCGAGCACGGCUUCUUAAGAUCCAAGAUUCAACAAAAAUCUACAAGAAAAAAAAGAAGAAAACGCAUCUGAUGAAGACACUGAAGCUCAGAUCGCGUAGAUUUUCAAGUUUGAAGAAGUCGACUUCUCCACCGGAGAAGAAGAAGAAUGACGCUAUUCUCGAUCUGUAUGAAUCUUCCUUCUUAGUUUGAUAAUUUUUACUUUUAAGAAAGAAAUUAGGUUUUUUGAUUGAAUUUAAAUUUGAAAGGAAAUCGAAGCUGCACCAAUUUGAUAAGUAAGGAAUCAAUGGAAGAAAAGAGGAGCAACAAGUAUGAAGCUAUUGAAUCAAAGAUUCUUAAGAUCUGUGCUAAUUAUUUAGAUCAUGACCCAAUGGAAUACCAUUCAUGUUGAACAAAUUACUGCAUCAUCGGUGGCUCACCCAUGCUUUUUAUGCCAUUAAUUUAUACAACCAUACUAUUGUUGAGUAGUUGAGAUUGUGAUUUAUAUUUUUUGAGCAGUAAAAUUGUUGAUUUGUUUGCCCCUAAGUUUAUGAAUUCUUGGAUGUUUAAUGCAGUGGGAAAACUACACAUGUACUGUUUUUUAGAUGUAUAAGAAAUAUUUUUGAGAUAUACUAUAUGACUUGUUUUUGAGAUA
Long non-coding RNA from Mercurialis annua (annual mercury), 847 nucleotides. RefSeq lists it as uncharacterized. NCBI's taxonomy places the organism in Eukaryota, Viridiplantae, Streptophyta, Magnoliopsida, Malpighiales, Euphorbiaceae. The transcript has 2 exons. The record is from RefSeq and is a predicted model, not a curated record.